GAUGAACGCUAGCGGCAGGCUUAACACAUGCAAGUCGAGGGGUAGAGGAAGCUUGCUUCCUUGAGACCGGCGCACGGGUGCGUAACGCGUAUGCAAUCUACCUUUUGCAGAGGGAUAGCCCAGAGAAAUUUGGAUUAAAUACCUCAUAGUAUAGUACUUUGGCAUCAAGGAACUAUUAAAGUUACAACGGCAAAAGAUGAGCAUGCGUCCCAUUAGCUAGAUGGUAAGGUAACGGCUUACCAUGGCUACGAUGGGUAGGGGUCCUGAGAGGGAGAUCCCCCCACACUGGUACUGAGACACGGACCAGACUCCUACGGGAGGCAGCAGUGAGGAAUAUUGGUCAAUGGACGCAAGUCUGAACCAGCCAUGCCGCGUGCAGGAUGACGGUCCUAUGGAUUGUAAACUGCUUUUGUACAGGAAGAAACACUCCCUCGUGAGGGANCUUGACGGUACUGUAAGAAUAAGGGAUCGGCUAACUCCGUGCCCAGCACG
Molecule: ribosomal RNA, 492 nt
Filed under: uncultured bacterium
Lineage: Bacteria
Description: bacterial SSU rRNA
Rfam family: Bacterial small subunit ribosomal RNA
Source: RNAcentral